This 303-nucleotide ribosomal RNA is filed under the name uncultured bacterium. RNAcentral's name for it is "partial 16S ribosomal RNA". It matches the Rfam family "Bacterial small subunit ribosomal RNA", at positions 507 to 809 of the family's 1533-position model. The record is from RNAcentral.
AGCAGUCGCCGCGGGAAUACGGAGGGUGCAAGCGUUAUCCGGAUUUAUUGGGUUUAAAGGGUCCGUAGGCGGAUCUGUAAGUCAGUGGUGAAAUCUCACAGCUUAACUGUGAAACUGCCAUUGAUACUGCAGGUCUUGAGUAAAUUUGAAGUGGCUGGGAUAAGUAGUGUAGCGGUGAAAUGCAUAGAUAUUACUUAGAACACCAAUUGCGAAGGCAGGUCACUAAGAUUUAACUGACGCUGAUGGACGAAAGCGUGGGGAGCGAACAGGAUUAGAUACCCGGGUAGUCCCUGUCUCUUAUAA